GUCCCCCUAGCUCAGCUGGAUAGAGCAUCGGCCUUCUAAGCCGAGGGUCGCAGGUUCGAGUCCUGCGGGGGACG
This 74-nucleotide transfer RNA is filed under the name Marinobacter sp. Its description in RNAcentral is "tRNA-Arg". It matches the Rfam family "tRNA". From Rfam's summary of the family: Transfer RNA (tRNA) molecules are approximately 80 nucleotides in length. Their secondary structure includes four short double-helical elements and three loops (D, anti-codon, and T loops). Lineage: Bacteria; Pseudomonadati; Pseudomonadota; Gammaproteobacteria; Pseudomonadales; Marinobacteraceae. The record is from RNAcentral.